UAGAAACGAUGCCUUUGAAGGUGUUAACCA
Molecule: non-coding RNA, 30 nt
Filed under: Rattus norvegicus (Norway rat)
Lineage: Eukaryota; Metazoa; Chordata; Mammalia; Rodentia; Muridae
Source: RNAcentral